This 73-nucleotide transfer RNA is filed under the name Camelus bactrianus (Bactrian camel). It matches the Rfam family "tRNA". Rfam says of the family: Transfer RNA (tRNA) molecules are approximately 80 nucleotides in length. The record is from Rfam by way of RNAcentral. Lineage: Eukaryota; Metazoa; Chordata; Mammalia; Artiodactyla; Camelidae. RNAcentral also lists the same sequence under 1 other name.
AAAGGUAUAGCUCAAGUGGUAGAGCGCAUGCCUAGCAUGCACGACGUCCUGGGUUCAAUCCCCUGUACCUCCU